UCUAACCUCUCAACAACACCGACCCUCGUCUCAUCUAUCAAGACUAUGUCAUCAGCAAAUAGCAUACACCAUGGUACAUCCCCUUGAAUAUGUCGGGUUAGAGCAUCCAUCACCAAGACAAACAAGAGAGGCUAAGCGCCGAUCCUUGAUGGAGCCCCAUAACCACUGGAAAAUGGUCUGAGUCGCCACCCACCGUCCUAACCCUAGUCUUUGCUCCAUCGUACAUGUCCUUGAUUACUCUGAUGUA
This 247-nucleotide long non-coding RNA is filed under the name Nicotiana benthamiana. RNAcentral describes it as "long non-coding RNA (NBEN_LNC017863)". Lineage: Eukaryota; Viridiplantae; Streptophyta; Magnoliopsida; Solanales; Solanaceae. The record is from RNAcentral.